This 447-nucleotide ribosomal RNA is filed under the name uncultured bacterium. RNAcentral's name for it is "partial 16S ribosomal RNA". It matches the Rfam family "Bacterial small subunit ribosomal RNA", at positions 29 to 523 of the family's 1533-position model. The record is from RNAcentral.
AGCGAACGCUGGCGGCAGGCUUAACACAUGCAAGUCGAACGCCCCGCAAGGGGAGUGGCAGACGGGUGAGUAACACGUGGGAACGUACCCUUUGGUUCGGAAUAACUUGGGGAAACUCAAGCUAAUACCGGAUAAGCUCUUAUGGGGAAAGGUUUACUGCCGAAGGAUCGGCGCGCGUCUGAUUAGCUAGUUGGUGAGGUAAUGGCGCACCAAGGCGACGAGCAGUAGCAGGUCUGAGAGGAUGAUCAGCCACACGGGGACUGAGACACGGCCCAGACUCCUACGGGAGGCAGCAGUGGGGAAUAUUGGACAAUGGGGGCAACCCUGAUCCAGCCAUGCCGCGUGAGUGAUGAAGGCCUUAGGGUUGUAAAGCUCUUUUACCCGGGACGAUAAUGACUGUACCGGGAGAAUAAGCCCCGGCUAACUUCGUGCCAGCCGCCGCCGUAA